RNAcentral lists this non-coding RNA (29 nucleotides) under Mus musculus (house mouse). Lineage: Eukaryota; Metazoa; Chordata; Mammalia; Rodentia; Muridae. The record is from RNAcentral.
AGGAAGGACUCUGGAUCCACACUAGGUAG